UUGGAGGGCAAGUCUGGUGCCAGCAGCCGCGGUAAUUCCAGCUCCAAUAGCGUAUAUUAAAGUUGUUGCAGUUAAAAAGCUCGUAGUUGAAUUUCGGGAUCAGUACGCUGGUCGUGCCUUCGGUAUGAACUGGUGUCACUGGUUCCUCCCUUCUGAAGAACCGUCAUGCCAUUCAGUUGGUGUGGCGGGGAAUCAGGACUGUUACUUUGAAAAAAUUAGAGUGUUUAAAGCAGGCUCGCGCUUGAAUACAUUAGCAUGGAAUAAUGAAAUAGGACGUUUGACCCUAUUUUGUUGGUUUCUAGGAUCGACGUAAUGAUUAAUAGGGAUAGUUGGGGGCAUUAGUAUUCAAUUGUCAGAGGUGAAAUUCUUGGAUUUAUUGAAGACUAACUACUGCGAAAGCGUUUGCCAAGGAUGUUUUCAUUAAUCAAGAACGAAAGUUAGGGGAUCGAAGACGAUCAGAUACCGUCGUAGUCUUAACCAUAAACUAUGCCGACUAGGGAUCGGAUGAUGUUAAUUUUUUAAUGACUCAUUCGGCGCCUUACGGGAAACCAAAGUGUUUGGGUUC
RNAcentral lists this ribosomal RNA (565 nucleotides) under uncultured Glomus. RNAcentral describes it as "SSU rRNA". It matches the Rfam family "Eukaryotic small subunit ribosomal RNA", at positions 548 to 1114 of the family's 1831-position model. Lineage: Eukaryota; Fungi; Glomeromycota; Glomeromycetes; Glomerales; Glomeraceae. The record is from RNAcentral.